RNAcentral lists this ribosomal RNA (2720 nucleotides) under Triticum aestivum (bread wheat). RNAcentral's name for it is "partial small subunit ribosomal RNA". Lineage: Eukaryota; Viridiplantae; Streptophyta; Magnoliopsida; Poales; Poaceae. The record is from RNAcentral.
GUGCCGGGUUAUUAGUUAGGGUUGGAGGUGACGGACCGACCGACCGUCGGAUCGAAUCGAGGACGAGAAGAGACGAGAGAGGCCGGACGGCCAGCGGCUACCUUCGGGGCGAGGAGGAGGGGCACAGGUGGCGACGGAGGAGGAGGUGCAGGUAGUGGCAGCUACUGGUGUCGGUGCCGCGCCGGCCGCGGAGACAUAGUGGCAGGGCGCGGAGCGGAAGGCCGGCCUCGUAGCGGCACGCGAUGGACCGGCACCGGGAGCAGCGGCGCCAGAGCGACAAGCGCGUCGUGCUCCGGAGGUUCCCGAAGGCGUAGUUGCAGCAGGCCCCGCCACCGUGCCGGCCACGGCGGCCGGCCGCGAAGCUGGAGGAGAAGCAGCGGUUGCCGGCGCGGCUCGCGCACGAGGUGGCGCGGUCGGCGGCGCAGCUCCUGCGCGAGAAGGGCCUGGGGAGCAAGGGCGCCGCGGACCAGCGGGCGCAGUGGCACGCCAACUACCGGCCGCCGUUAGAGUGGCGGCUGCUGCGCUGGCAGCUGCGACAGUGCCUGCCCCUCAUGCAGUAGAGCGACUCGGGUGCGGAGGACAGCGGCAGGAGGCCUCCGCCGUCGCGGCCCCGGCGGCUGCGGCAGCGGCGGCGCCACGCGGCCCGGCACCGCGCGUACACCGACACCCUGCCGGCGCCGCGGCGCGGCCGCGCGCAGUGCCUCCGGUACCACCUCAUGGAGCGGUGGCGGCAGGGCCUGCUCAGCAGCAGCGGCCGCCUCCUCGUGCGCAGCCGCAGCUUGUGCGUCACGUAGAGCGGCGCCAAGGACUUCGUGGACCUCGCCGCCGCGCGGCCCAAGCACCGCGCCGACUUGUCCCGUUACUCCCUGGCCACCUCGCUGCGGCGCCACCUGCGGCGGGAGCCCCGCGGCCGUGCCGGGCAGACGCGGCCGAUGGAGCGCCGCCGCUGCCUUUGGCCGCCGGUUGCUGGCCACCAACCCAGGCCCCACCGCCAAACUCGGUCGUUCCUCAGCCUUGUCGCGUGCUUCCCACCAAACGCUCUCUAGCGUGUACGUGCGGUACGGACAGUGCACUGAGUCAGCCAGUCAGGGAACAUGCAUUUACAUUAACUAGGCGGUAAUAGCGAGUCACCAAUUAAUUCAUUACCCUAUUCUGCUCAGUCGCCAGCGAUGAGGAUGUUCACAUCAAAAGAAACAUUUAAGUGUCAUCAAAAAAUACAAACACACCACCUUAUAUACCGCUAGAGUUUAUUAACAUCUUGCGGGUUCUCUUUCGUUCUGCUGGCAAGAUAGCUAGUGAAACUAAAUACCCGACGGGAAGGAAAGUGCUAGUUUCAUCUUGUGGAGAAGCUGGCAAGCCGCACUUACCACUCGAUAGACUUUUGUUACCUGUUUUUUUUUUCCAUCUCGUAGAAAAGUUUGCAAAAGAUACCUUUUUCAUCCUAGAUUUACAAACGCUUUAAAAUGUGUAAGUUCAACGAAACAUCACAAGUUAGGAUCUCCUAACAAGAGUACUAAAAACACAAAAUAUAAGGUGUCUUUAAGGAUGUUCAAGGAUAAGGCCUUUUCCUUUUUUCUUAUGAAAGGCACGAGAGUUUAGAGAACGUUUCUAAAGAUUCUAAAACAUGUUUAAAUCGGAACAUCCUAACCUCACCUGUUAACGUACUGUAGAUUAGAUGAUAUCACAAAAUUAAAGGGUUUACUAUUCACGGUGUGCACACUAUGCUUCGUGAGACCGGGACUGUAAAAAAUGUUGACUUCAACGGUAGUCCUUUAUUUUUUGUUUGGGUUCAUAUUUGAUUUUGAACGGUAGGCUUUCCUUCAACGGUAUAAACUGUUAAUUUCAACGGUAGGAGCGCAGUGAUUUGAAACAGUAUUUUUUUACAAACCUUAACGGUAAACAAGUACGGUGUGCACACCGUGAAUAGUCCUAGGGAAAUUAAAGGAGGGGUUUUCAUGGCUGUGGUACCUAUCAUUAACAUGAGAAAGUAGAUCGAAAAAAAUCUUGAGAAAGUAGAUCGACUAUAUGAGAUAAAAGGGACGUCUUUUACAAUCUUAAUUGCCCGGAGUGGGUACAUGUUAAAAACUUUAGAGCUUAGGGGUACUUAUUUACCAUUCACCACCACGAUUUUAAGUCAGGGUAUACCAAUGACCUGCUUCACAAAGUGGUGAAAUAUAUCACCCAAGAGAAGUGGUGUGAUUCACUACACGAUUCUUCUCUUUCUCUUCUGGUAUGCACUCACGAUCGGAGCGGAUCGACCCUUGCCCGGCCCCAGCGCGCCCGCACGCUGAACGCACACUUACCAGACGGUUUUAGGCCAGGGACUGGAACGUCCCCGUGCUGUAGGAAAACGACAAAUUAAAAAACUACAGGACCGUCUGCUCAAUAAUAAAGAACAUUCCAUUCAUAUACCGAACCUUUGGUUCAGUCACACUCUUGCACCCAUAUGAUGGUGAUCGGCGCUGAUUUCUGUGUAGUUUUGUGGAUUCCAAAACGGAGUAGAGCGUUGAAUACGGCGGUGGAAUCAGAUGAGGUAGGGCUUGUAAUAGUAAUUGUUGCAACUAAAGCGUCGGCGACUACUUGUUAUUCAGGUGGUACUAGGCAAUUACACAACCGAACAUCAACAAUAAUGUACACGCUACAACAACACGUACAAAAAGACAAACAGAUUAUACAAUAUAACAACGUACGAUAAAUACAAGAUCAGUACUUAAUAAAUG